CAUUGUGACCUUUAUGGGUGUUUUCACACCGACAGCCUUUAGUUUGGUUGAAUCAAACUAGAGUUGGUUUGCCCUGCUGGUGCGGUUCGUUUGGGCAGGAAAGAACG
Etheostoma spectabile (orangethroat darter) is the source of this 107-nucleotide long non-coding RNA. RefSeq lists it as uncharacterized. The record is from RefSeq and is a predicted model, not a curated record. The transcript has 3 exons. Lineage: Eukaryota; Metazoa; Chordata; Actinopteri; Perciformes; Percidae.